CGAAAGCCUGACGGAGCAAUACCGCGUGAGGGAUGAAAGCCUGUGGGUUGUAAACCUCUUUUCUCAAGGAAGAAAUUCUGACGGUACUUGAGGAAUAAGCAUCGGCUAACUCUGUGCCAGCAGCCGCGGUAAUACAGAGGAUGCAAGCGUUAUCCGGAAUCACUGGGCAUAAAGCGUCUGUAGGUUGCUUAGCAAGUCUGUUGUUAAAGAUCAGGGCCUAACCCUGGGAAAGCAAUGGAAACCACUAGGCUUGAGUAUGGUAGAGGUAGAGGGAAUUCCUGGUGUAGCGGUGAAAUGCGUAGAUAUUAGGAAGAACACCAAUGGCGAAAGCACUCUACUGGGCCAUAACUGACACUAAGAGACGACAGCUAGGGGAGCAAAUG
RNAcentral lists this ribosomal RNA (383 nucleotides) under uncultured bacterium. RNAcentral describes it as "bacterial SSU rRNA". It matches the Rfam family "Bacterial small subunit ribosomal RNA", at positions 376 to 774 of the family's 1533-position model. The record is from RNAcentral.